RNAcentral lists this ribosomal RNA (240 nucleotides) under uncultured Actinomycetales bacterium. RNAcentral describes it as "partial 16S ribosomal RNA". It matches the Rfam family "Bacterial small subunit ribosomal RNA", at positions 89 to 334 of the family's 1533-position model. Lineage: Bacteria; Bacillati; Actinomycetota; Actinomycetes; Actinomycetales. The record is from RNAcentral.
GCUCGAGUGGCGAACGGGUGAGUAACACGUGAGUAACCUGCCCUUGACUUUGGGAUAGCUUCAGGAAACUGGGUCUAAUACCGGAUAGGAGCCAUCUUUAGUGUGGUGGUUGGAAAGUUUUUCGGUGUGGAUGAGCUCGCGGCCUAUCAGCUUGUUGGUGGGGUAAUGGCCUACCAAGGCGGCGACGGGUAGCCGGCCUGAGAGGGUGUACGGCCACAUUGGGACUGAGAUACGGCCCAG